AUGUACACUGAUGCAUGGCCUCAAGACGCCGAUGGUGACGAAUCAUCAUCGGUCGAGAUGUUUCAGGAUCUACUUGCUGCUGCAGAUCUGUAUGCACUAGACAGGUUGAAGCUCAUGUGCGCACGAAAGUUGUGGGAUAACGUGACGGUACAUACUGUUGUGAGUAUCUUGGUUUGUGCUGAAACGUAUGUCUGCCCGGAGUUGAAGAACAAAUGCCUUGACUUCUGCACAGUGGGAAAAAAUUUCAAGGAGGUAACAUCCACCGAUGGCUAUGCAUGGCUAGAACUGAGGUUUCCCUCAAUUGCUGCAGAGAUAGGAGAAAAGUUUAGGAGAUAA
This 336-nucleotide ribosomal RNA is filed under the name Triticum aestivum (bread wheat). Its description in RNAcentral is "partial small subunit ribosomal RNA". The record is from RNAcentral. Lineage: Eukaryota; Viridiplantae; Streptophyta; Magnoliopsida; Poales; Poaceae.